ACCUGGGUAGCUCAGUCGGUUAAGCGUCUGACUUGGGCUCAGGUCAUGAUCUCAUGGCUUGUGAGUUCAAGUCCCACAUCGGGCU
RNAcentral lists this transfer RNA (85 nucleotides) under Felis catus (domestic cat). It matches the Rfam family "tRNA". Rfam says of the family: Transfer RNA (tRNA) molecules are approximately 80 nucleotides in length. Their secondary structure includes four short double-helical elements and three loops (D, anti-codon, and T loops). Further hydrogen bonds mediate the characteristic L-shaped molecular structure. tRNAs have two regions of fundamental functional importance: the anti-codon, which is responsible for specific mRNA codon recognition, and the 3' end, to which the tRNAs corresponding amino acid is attached (by aminoacyl-tRNA synthetases). tRNAs cope with the degeneracy of the genetic code in two manners: having more than one tRNA (with a specific anti-codon) for a particular amino acid; and 'wobble' base-pairing, i.e. permitting non-standard base-pairing at the 3rd anti-codon position. Lineage: Eukaryota; Metazoa; Chordata; Mammalia; Carnivora; Felidae. The record is from Rfam by way of RNAcentral.